CUUCUGAGACAACAAUAAUUAAUAAUUAAGCCCAUUUAUUCCUUAACUAUUGUUUUAAAAUGGAAGUAAUAUUGUUGCAUAGUAAUCAUUUAUCUUAAACAAUGUUUUAAUCUUAUGCGGUAUUUGGAUUUUUUAAUGUUUCUAAUUUUAUGUCAUAAAAAGCAUUUAUGGGCAUGUGGGAUAUAUGUGUAUUCUCUUUUUAAAAGGACUAGGUACUUUUAUGGGAACUAAGUUGAGGAUGUAACCAGUUUGUUUUUCUGAUGUGUAUUAAUAAUAGAUGAAUAAUAGUAAAUGUUUAAAAACUAUCCAACUAUUCUAAAAUCAUAGGAUCAUGGGACUGGAAGAGAACUCAGUGCCAUUUGGACCUCAUCCUGUGGAGAGUCUGAUUCAUUAGGUCUAAACCUGUCUUCACUUCUGUGAGAAUCUUAUAGAAAGGAUGAUCAGCUGGGCAGAGACACCGGAUUCCUACUUUUAUUACCUACAAUGGCCUUCUCCAGUAUUCUAGGUCCCAUAUUUUCAUGGAGUAUUAAGCUAAAAUUACAGAACAAUGUAAACACAGUCUUGAUGGCCCCCCUCCCUGUUUGCAUCUUGUGAUCUGAGUGGCCAGUUUACAUGUUACAUUUCCAGGUCCUGACUCCAGCACCUGAAAAGCAACCAGACAACAAAUUGCCACUGCCCAGAAGAGGCUCCAGGGACCCAACAGAAUACUUUCAUGGGCAGGAGGUACGGGACAAGUCAGAUGAACACGUGGAUCAUGUGUCUCAGAUCCAUAGUUACAGAGAUGAAGUAAAAGGUGCUGAUGGGCCCAUGCUCAAACCAACAAGCAGAAGUUAUGACCCAGCCAUUGUCUCACUCACUUCUGUUACUUCAUAGACUGAAGGGGCUCCACUCACUUCUAAAGAACCAGUUGAUUGGUUAAAAUCUCACCUUUGGUGGCAGAGUGAGGAAGAGGAAACAUGAUGGUCCAGGGCUUUGAUGGCCAAAAUUACAGGUAACUUUGUAAGUUAGAGGGGCUCGGUCAGGUGUGUAAGCCCAUUCUAGAACCUCUCUUUUUUAAAGUCUUCAAGUGUUAUCGUAAUGUGACAGCUGUUCCCCAUUUUCUAUUUGUUAACCCCAUUUACCAAAUACAAACUUCUAUUUUCUGAGAAAUUCUCAGGUAAAGCCUCUUGACUUAGAACUAGUAACACCUCUGUUGUAAAGAUCUCUGAUUUGGAAAAUAAUCUUCUCCUCUACAGUUAAUAAUUACUUGAAGUGAAGAAGUUUACUUCAAUCAUGUGGAUCUGCUCAACUAUGUAAAGUUUGUAUCCUACCUGAUGUGAUUUUACUUUAAAAAGGAAAGGUUUUUAUUAGAAUUGAAGAAAAAUUAUUCAGAUUUUAAAGAUGGGCUUCAAACCAUUAUUUGAAUAUGUUUAAUUUAAAAUUUUCAGGAAAAGGAGAGGAGGAAUAAUUAUGGUACUACCUUUACUGGGUAAGAUGAAUGUUGAAAUAAAUAGAACUAAUCCUGUAGUAGAGUGUCUAGUCUAGAGCAUCAGAUUGAAACUACUUUCCAUACAAAUGUCCUGCCACAGACCUCUGCCGUGUUUGUCUUCCUCACGCUGGUAGGUAGCUUUUCCUUUGUUUCCCCACGGUCUGCUUCCACCAGAAAACGAUUUCUAAAAAGUUUCAUCUAAAUAAGGCCAGUAAUAUGGUAGGUCUCUCUGCCCUGAACAGAUUGAACAAAUAUUUCAACAAUUUAACAAAUAAUUUAGGUACCUACUGUGUGCCAAGCUGUCCUCUUAAGGUUACUAGACAGUAUAAAUGACAGACAUUAAUACCCAAAUGAAAAUGUUGUGAAGGGCAAGUGUCAAGACAGACCUAACAAGUAACAUUUUAGGAUGAAACCUGAAGUAAAAGUUCGUGCUAGCCAGGCAAGAAAGAAUAGUAUGGAAGGAGUUUUGUUCGUUUGAGGACUGAAAGAAGGCCCAUGAGGUUGGAGCCUGGGUGACAAGGCAAGUGAGUUUAUGAACCAUGUGAAGAGCUUUUGUGAUUUGAUCCUCAAGCGCAGUGAAGGGCUAACAUCCAUUCAUAUAAAUCCUAAACUGCUCGGUGAAUAUUUUUAUGCCUGCAUUGUUUCCUAAUUCCUUAUUCAUAACAGCAGUACCAACUUUUUGGACAAAAGCUCUAGAUUUGCUAAUGCUGCUUUUUUUCAUUGUUCAAUGUCCAUAAUGAAUUUCCUCUCAUCUGAGGCCCUGUCCUACAGGGAGAGCCCUCCCCUCAUUCCACAAUUGCUUAAUGUUUAUGCAUUCAGUAGGAGGAAUAGAUGCUAUUUUGUUUGUACAAACAUUAACCAUAGAAUGAAGUCUUUCCACUGUAACUUGAGAUAACAAAGCCACAAACAUUGCAGGAAACAAAAUAGUGCAACCGGUGGUAUAUAUGAAGUGACAGGGUAUCUAAAAUCCUAAGAAAACUUGACACAGUGAAAUGUACGUAA
RNAcentral lists this long non-coding RNA (2470 nucleotides) under Homo sapiens (human). Its description in RNAcentral is "HSALNT0374650". Lineage: Eukaryota; Metazoa; Chordata; Mammalia; Primates; Hominidae. The record is from RNAcentral.